UNCUAAUAAAGGAGGUGUACUUCAUGUUC
This 29-nucleotide non-coding RNA is filed under the name Mus musculus (house mouse). The record is from RNAcentral. Lineage: Eukaryota; Metazoa; Chordata; Mammalia; Rodentia; Muridae.